AUUGAACGCUGGCGGCAGGCCUAACACAUUCAAGUCGAACGAGUGGCGGACGGGUGAGUAAUGUCUGGUAAACUGCCCGAUGGAGGGGGAUAACUACUGGAAACGGUAGCUAAUACCGCAUACCAUCUGAUGUGCCCAGAUUGGAUUAGCUAUUAGGUGGGGUAACGGCUCACCUAGGCGACGAUCCCUAGCUGGUCUGAGAGGAUGACCAGCAACACUGGAACGGAGACACGGUCCAGACUCCUACGGGAGGAAGCAGUGGGGAAUAUGGCACAAUGGGCGCAAGCCUGAUGCAGCCAGGCAGCGUGUAGGAAGAAGGGCUUCGGGUUGGAAAGUACUUUCAGUGGGGAGGCGUUACUCGCAGAAGAAGCACCGGCUAACUCCGUGCCAGCAGCCGCGGUAAUAC
This 406-nucleotide ribosomal RNA is filed under the name uncultured bacterium. RNAcentral describes it as "partial 16S ribosomal RNA". It matches the Rfam family "Bacterial small subunit ribosomal RNA", at positions 30 to 526 of the family's 1533-position model. The record is from RNAcentral.